RNAcentral lists this ribosomal RNA (700 nucleotides) under uncultured bacterium. RNAcentral describes it as "bacterial SSU rRNA". It matches the Rfam family "Bacterial small subunit ribosomal RNA", at positions 86 to 783 of the family's 1533-position model. The record is from RNAcentral.
UGCUGACGAGUGGCGGACGGGUGAGUAAUGUCUGGGAAACUGCCCGAUGGAGGGGGAUAACUACUGGAAACGGUAGCUAAUACCGCAUAACGUCUUCGGACCAAAGAGGGGGACCUUCGGGCCUCUUGCCAUCGGAUGUGCCCAGAUGGGAUUAGCUAGUAGGUGGGGUAACGGCUCACCUAGGCGACGAUCCCUAGCUGGUCUGAGAGGAUGACCAGCCACACUGGAACUGAGACACGGUCCAGACUCCUACGGGAGGCAGCAGUGGGGAAUAUUGCACAAUGGGCGCAAGCCUGAUGCAGCCAUGCCGCGUGUAUGAAGAAGGCCUUCGGGUUGUAAAGUACCUUUCAGCGGGGAGGAAGGGAGUGAGGUUAAUAAGCUCAUUCAUUGACGUUACCCGCAGAAGAAGCACCGGCUAACUCCGUGCCAGCAGCCGCGGUAAUACGGAGGGUGCAAGCGUUAAUCGGAAUUACUGGGCGUAAAGCGCACGCAGGCGGUCUGUCAAGUCGGAUGUGAAAUCCCAGGGCUCAACCUGGGAACUGCAUUCGAAACUGGCAGGCUUGAGUCUCGUAGAGGGGGGUAGAAUUCCAGGUGUAGCGGUGAAAUGCGUAUAGAUCUGGAGGAAUACCGGUGGCGAGGCGGCCCCCUGGACGAAGACUGACGCUCAGGUGCGAAAGCGUGGGAGCAAACAGGAUUAGAU